Molecule: ribosomal RNA, 497 nt
Filed under: uncultured bacterium
Lineage: Bacteria
Description: partial 16S ribosomal RNA
Rfam family: Bacterial small subunit ribosomal RNA
Source: RNAcentral
GACGAACGCUGGCGGCGUGCCUAAUACAUGCAAGUAGAACGCUGAAGAGAGGAGCUUGCUCUUCUUGGAUGAGUUGCGAACGGGUGAGUAACGCGUAGGUAACCUGCCUUGUAGCGGGGGAUAACUAUUGGAAACGAUAGCUAAUACCGCAUAACAAUGGAUGACACAUGUCAUUUAUUUGAAAGGGGCAAUUGCUCCACUACAAGAUGGACCUGCGUUGUAUUAGCUAGUAGGUGAGGUAAUGGCUCACCUAGGCGACGAUACAUAGCCGACCUGAGAGGGUGAGCGGCCACACUGGGACUGAGACACGGCCCAGACUCCUACGGGAGGCAGCAGUAGGGAAUCGUCGGCAAUGGGGGCAACCCUGACCGAGCAACGCCGCGUGAGUGAAGAAGGUUUUCGGAUCGUAAAGCUCUGUUGUAAGUCAAGAACGGGUGUGAGAGUGGAAAGUUCACACUGUGACGGUAGCUGACCAGAAAGGGACGGCUAACUACGUG